RNAcentral lists this ribosomal RNA (662 nucleotides) under Providencia rettgeri. Its description in RNAcentral is "partial 23S ribosomal RNA". It matches the Rfam family "Bacterial large subunit ribosomal RNA", at positions 249 to 948 of the family's 2925-position model. The record is from RNAcentral. Lineage: Bacteria; Pseudomonadati; Pseudomonadota; Gammaproteobacteria; Enterobacterales; Morganellaceae.
GCGAGCGAACGGGGAGCAGCCCAGAGUCUUAAUCAGCAUUAGCAUCAGGAGAACGGUCUGGAAAGUCCGGCAGUAAAGGGUGAUAGCCCCGUAUCCGAAGGUGUUAGUGUUGUGAACUCGACGAGUAGGGCGGGACACGUGUUAUCCUGUCUGAAUAUGGGGGGACCAUCCUCCAAGGCUAAAUACUCCUGAUUGACCGAUAGUGAACCAGUACCGUGAGGGAAAGGCGAAAAGAACCCCGGCGAGGGGAGUGAAAUAGAACCUGAAACCGUGUACGUACAAGCAGUGGGAGCCUUGAUUUAUCAGGGUGACUGCGUACCUUUUGUAUAAUGGGUCAGCGACUUAUAUUCUGUAGCAAGGUUAACCGAAUAGGGGAGCCGUAGGGAAACCGAGUCUUAACUGGGCGAAUAAGUUGCAGGGUAUAGACCCGAAACCCGGUGAUCUAGCCAUGGGCAGGUUGAAGGUUGGGUAACACUAACUGGAGGACCGAACCGACUAAUGUUGAAAAAUUAGCGGAUGACUUGUGGCUGGGGGUGAAAGGCCAAUCAAACCGGGAGAUAGCUGGUUCUCCCCGAAAGCUAUUUAGGUAGCGCCUCGUGAACUCAUCUUCGGGGGUAGAGCACUGUUUCGACUAGGGGGUCAUCCCGACUUACCAACUCGAU